UACGUAGGUGACAAGCGUUGUCCGGAUUUACUGGGCGUAAAGAGCGCGCAGGCGGUCGAUCAAGUCGAGUGUGAAAGCCCCCGGCUCAACUGGGGAGGGUCAUUCGAUACUGAUCGACUCGAAGGCAGGAGAGGGUAGUGGAAUUCCCGGUGUAGUGGUGAAAUGCGUAGAUAUCGGGCGGAACACCAGCGGCGAAGGCGGCAUCCUGGCCCUUACCUGACGCUGAGGCGCGAGAGCGUGGGGAGCAAACCGG
Molecule: ribosomal RNA, 253 nt
Filed under: uncultured bacterium
Lineage: Bacteria
Description: partial 16S ribosomal RNA
Rfam family: Bacterial small subunit ribosomal RNA
Source: RNAcentral